GGGGAUUUGGCUCAGUGGUAGAGCGCUUGCCUAGGAAGCGCAAGGUCCUGGUUCAAUCCCCA
This 62-nucleotide transfer RNA is filed under the name Rattus norvegicus (Norway rat). It matches the Rfam family "tRNA". From Rfam's summary of the family: Transfer RNA (tRNA) molecules are approximately 80 nucleotides in length. Their secondary structure includes four short double-helical elements and three loops (D, anti-codon, and T loops). Lineage: Eukaryota; Metazoa; Chordata; Mammalia; Rodentia; Muridae. The record is from Rfam by way of RNAcentral.